Molecule: long non-coding RNA, 3371 nt
Organism: Sus scrofa (pig)
Lineage: Eukaryota; Metazoa; Chordata; Mammalia; Artiodactyla; Suidae
Source: RefSeq, a predicted model, not a curated record
AAUUCGACCCCUUGCCUGGGAACCUCCAUGUGCCAUGGAUGUGGCCCUAAAAAGACACACACACAAAAGUUAUUGACACACUACGUCUUUUGGCGCCAAGUCUCUGAAAUCCGGUUGUAUCCUGUGUCGACGGCACAGCUCACCUCGGAUGAGCCGCCUUUCCCGCAGUCGAGAGGACACCCGCCGAGCCAGAGCCCCGUCAGGCGGCACAGUCUCGGGCCCUCCUUCCACACGCUUUUAUGUGAUCCUGCAGCAGGGCACCCACCCCAGCGGCGAUUAAGUUAUUUUAGGCCCAGUAAUGAGUUUUGCAUCUGUCCCCCUCCCCCACUACGCAGAGUGCUCUGAGGGCAAAGCUUACACAUUGGCAGCUCCUUUUCUCCUGUCCUGUCCAGCCUAGUGCCUGCCACACAGGAGGCGUACAAAACUACUGGCUACACUUCCUCCACGCCCGGCUCUCCCGCCAGGGCGAACGUCCCUCAGCCUAUUAUAACCAAAUGCUUGACGUGCAGCAGACGGAACGUCUGGAGGGCCGAUGGGCAAAGGCGCUUGUCUGACUCCUGGCGCUUCUUUCCACGUGGGUUGCUCUCCUUCACCGGCUGGGCCGCGGGCAAGCGGGCUCAUCUGACCGGUCAACGUGGGCAGAGCGAUGCUAGCACCCGGGGUCCCAGCCUGGCUCUUUUCCCCUUGGAGUGAGCGCCUCUGUUUUGCUCUCCAGGGUCUGCCCACUCCCCACCCCAACCGCGGGUGGGGGUCCAGAGCGGCCGCUGCCGAGGGGGCAUGUUUGCUGCUCGCCAGGGACAAGCCACAGCCUCCAGCUGUGCUUUCAAGAUACGUGUUUUGGCUUCUCUCUGCCCGAUCCCGUCAUUUCCCAAGUGGUUCAGAAGGCGGGCAAUCUCCUCCUUGUACUGGCGAGGACCCUACCACGGAGCAGGGAGCGGAAAUAAGCUCCCCAAAGCACAGACUAUACAGUGAGGGUCCCGCCGGGGCCCCAGCUCCCAGUCUGGAGUGCCGGGGGCUCAGGCUCCAGCUCAUGAGAAAAAUGCACGUCUCGACGCUGGAUGCGCCUCUGUAGGCAAAGACCUCCCCGAAGAAUCAAAGAGAGGGCAGUCUUUACAGCGCUGGGGAUGAGACCCCGGGGUUCCAUUUUUAAUCUCCGCGACGUCCCAGAGGGGCAGGGAGAACGUUCCAGCUGCAGGCGCGACCUCUGGAUUUAUAGGUUUGCGAGGGAGCUGUGUCCCAGUCCCCUCCUGCGAGAGGAUGCUCCUCGGAGGCCGGCUGCGGGGAGGGGUGGGAGCUGGGAGGCGGAGCGGCGGCCUGGACUGUGAGAAACAGGAAGAGUCCUUCGGGCUCCAUUAAGAGCCCCGGCUGUCUUUCCCAGCAACAGAAACUCUCCGUGGGCCCCAUAAUUCACGCCACAGGGCCGAGCCUGCAGUCAGCGCUGAGAAGCUGCGUUCGGGGUCCUUGGAAAAUAUGACGGGGUGCCACCCCGUAGAUGGCGCUGACAAGUGACACGAGAGCUGAUGCUGGAUCGGGGAACAUGGUGGCUACUGAUGAGUUUCUGCAUGGCUCCCGGGACACCAACCCACAAAGAUUCCUCCUCCAGAAGGCUUUCCGGUUGUGCAACACGUGAUCAGAGACGCAGCCUAUGAGUGGCCUGGCAACUGGGACGCAUGGAUCCCAUCCGUGGCGUGGCUGCUGCGUAUCUGGCAGGUGACCCUCAGGGGCCCUAUGCCCCCUGCACUGUUUCUGCCCCGGUCAUAAAGGGGAGCUGGCCCAGUGCUGGCUGAGGGCUGCUCGAUGCCAUGGCCUUGGAUGUCUGCAUUGGCACGCAGAGGGCUGCCCGCAUAUAUGCCGCCUGACCACAGACCUCCCUGUAGAGGGGCUUCAACCGGCCUGGUUUCUGUCUACAGCCUGAGCCACAGAGCUGUGACCACUCUACUUUCUUUGCUGAGAGCCAUCUGGGUUCCCCACGGGUGGCUCAGAGGGGUUAGAGGGUGGCUUCCUUUGCGGGCGGCACCUGAGCAGGAUGGACCCGCUGCUUCUGGCCACCGCCUUUAAUGACCCUCAGUGCACUUAUCAAGAAGGACGGUGGCUACGAAGACCAGGACCCCUUCAUGGCACCGUUAGCGGGAGUUUUCGGCUCACAGUUCUCGGGCACGAGGGGAGGCCUGUGUGCCCUGGACGGUGGCUGAAGCUGACAGCCACCCUGGCCAGGCGACCCAGCUUGUCCAGCGGCUCCUUCCCCAAGACCCGCUGUGAGCACUGGAUGAAUUCAGCUGCGUUUGGGAUUUGCCAACCAUCUCACACUGUUUUGAAAAUGCUUGGGGUUUGAUAAAACCGAAAAAGAUAUUUGCCAAGCAUCAUUCCCCUUCAUUUUUUAAACCCAUGUGGAUUUUAAGGGGAAUUUAAUCCAUAUGUUUCUGAUUCAUUUGCUCUUAACUCAUCAAAACCUUGUUUCAAAAGAGCUAUUUGAUGUCCAAGGAGCUUUUGGAGUUGGGUUUUCAAUCUUUUAAAAUCUCCCUUUCCUGGCUUUGAAAUGAGAUGUUGCUGUUUGCCAAGCAUAAAUGAGCUCCCUAGCUGAAACGAGGUCCAUGUUUGCUUCACAAUUAGAGAGCUGUGAGCUCUCAGUGGGCUGUGAAAUGGGCAAAACCUGUGUCCUUUGAAGACCCCCUCCCCCCAGUCCAGGACCAGGGACCCACCUCCUCUGCGUCCAGGAGCCACGGGCUGAGGGCGGGGUCCUCUUUCUUUAACACCUUGAUUCUGCCCCGAGGCGGGCAGCCUGGGAGACGUCUUAGGACGGCAGCUGCAUACCUUUCACGGGACUGUAACCUAGGAGGGACUUCCUCGAUGUUCACAGAGUCUGGUUCACUUGAACUUUUUAUAAUGAAGUGUUUUCAACACACACACGAGCACAGACUGUCCUCAGGGACGACUCGCCAGCUUCAGCGACGAGCAGCUCAAGCUCGGCCUCGACUUGGAGACGCGUCCUGGGCCGUCCAUCACUGCAUUCUUCAGGGUUUCGGUCGGUAUCUCUGCAACACAAGGAAAGGCCCUGUCAAAGUCUGCAGCACUCGGAUCAUGAACUGGCAAUGCAGUCCUCAACGUCAUAAAAAUCCUGAUUAAUUCCCCACUGUGUUCUCAUCAUUUUAAACAGGUGGGCUCUUUGAGUCAGGAGCGAAACGAGGCCAUACCCUGCAGGUGGUGGCUGUAUCUCGUCGGAGGCAUUUCCCACGUUUUGGAUUUUCUUGAUUAUGUUCUUGUAUGUAACAAAUUUCUUUUUCCCCUACGAAAUGCAAAUUCUUAAGGUUUGCAUAUUUUUACAAGGCUUCAUGGAAUCAAUUCUGGUAGAAUAAUUUAUUUUACGUCUGAAA